ACUCGUAGCAUAAUUGUAUAUUUCAAUAUAUCACAGCCAUACAUUUUUAUAUUCUUUCAGGUGAUUCAGCUUACCCACAGAGGCAAACACUACUGAUGGAUGCACUGACUUUUGGAUGCACCUGUAGGAUCUCCAGAAGCUCGUUAUACCGCUUUACAAGUUCGAGCCCGCAACUGUAUAGAGCGGUGUUUUGGGCGACUAAAAAUCAGUUGGUAGUGUUUGUCGUCAAUGGAGAAACUGCAUUACAAGCCAGCAGCGGCAGCUAAGAUCGUUAAAACGUGUUGUGUGCUUGACAAUAUAGCUAACAAGGCGAAUUGUGAACUGCCUCCGCUGAACCGACACGAAGAACAGGAGCAGCAGCAGGAGCAGAGAUUAGCGGCGGAGUUUGACGCCCGUCAGCAGAAUGCUGAUAUUUAUUUGGCAAUGGCUCCUGACAGGUGUUGGCUAAACAAAGAGCUGCAGCUGGGUCGCGCUGCUCGUCAAGCGCUUGUCCGGCAGUUAGCAAAUUAUUGAUUCUUCAUCGGACCAAGGCCGAUUUGUCCAGGACCAAUUUUCGGAUCUCCUGGGCUUCCUGGAACAAGGACUAGUGAUUGUUUCGAGGAGCUGUCAUGGUGUUGGCUCUUGAUAUUUUAUCGUGAAAUGCAGAUUUAAUGAUGAAGGCGCGUCGGAACCCAAACGUCAAGAAUCGCCGACGUUCACAGAAGCAGCUACAAUGAGCGGAGAAUCUGAGAGCCAGGAAUGCGGAGCACCUUGCUACUACUAAAAUGGAGAACCCGGACCUGUUAGCGACAUGGAACUGACCAGGACCGUCGUGGGCUCCUCAUGUGCCACCCCCGGAUACCUUUUCUGAUUGUGGUGUUUACAGUACAGUAGUGUACAUAUUCAUGAAAAAAAAAUUGUAGGUACUUUUUUUACAUUUUUAAAAAACGCACUCUGCAUGGUUUUGGAGUUUCGACUUCGUGCUAGAUAAAAACCCCCAGGCAAGAGCAAACAAUUUUUUGUUCUAGCCUAUAUUUGUGACCCACUGCAAAGG
RNA transcript from Leguminivora glycinivorella, 1033 nucleotides. RefSeq lists it as uncharacterized. NCBI's taxonomy places the organism in Eukaryota, Metazoa, Arthropoda, Insecta, Lepidoptera, Tortricidae. The transcript is spliced from 4 exons. The record is from RefSeq and is a predicted model, not a curated record.